GGUGGUUCAGUGGUAGAGCACUUGCCUUGCAUGCAUGAGGACCUGGGUUCGAUUCCUCAGCACCA
This 65-nucleotide transfer RNA is filed under the name Dipodomys ordii (Ord's kangaroo rat). It matches the Rfam family "tRNA". From Rfam's summary of the family: Transfer RNA (tRNA) molecules are approximately 80 nucleotides in length. Their secondary structure includes four short double-helical elements and three loops (D, anti-codon, and T loops). Further hydrogen bonds mediate the characteristic L-shaped molecular structure. tRNAs have two regions of fundamental functional importance: the anti-codon, which is responsible for specific mRNA codon recognition, and the 3' end, to which the tRNAs corresponding amino acid is attached (by aminoacyl-tRNA synthetases). tRNAs cope with the degeneracy of the genetic code in two manners: having more than one tRNA (with a specific anti-codon) for a particular amino acid; and 'wobble' base-pairing, i.e. permitting non-standard base-pairing at the 3rd anti-codon position. Lineage: Eukaryota; Metazoa; Chordata; Mammalia; Rodentia; Heteromyidae. The record is from Rfam by way of RNAcentral.